UAAAAGACGUUCAACCCUCCCUUCAGAGGAAUCCGGUGAAAUUCCGGAGCUGCCGCGCAACGGUGAAGUCCCCGCCAAGGGGAAUAAGCCCGGUCGACUGAUGGGAGGAAAUUCCUUCGCGGGAAGGGGAAGAG
This 134-nucleotide small RNA is filed under the name Elusimicrobiota bacterium. The record is from RNAcentral. Lineage: Bacteria; Pseudomonadati; Elusimicrobiota.